GCCAGGUCCAGUAGAGCUGUGUUGUGAUGGGCCUGGUCUAGUAGAGCUGUGUUGUGAUGGGCCAGGUCCAGUAGAGCUGUGUUGUGAUGGGCCAGGUCUAGUAGAGCUGUGUUGUGAUGGGCCAGGUCUAGUAGAGCUGUGUUGUGAUGGGCCGGGUCUAGUAGAGCUGUGUUGUGAUGGGCCGGGUCUAGUAGAGCUGUGUUGUGAUGGGACGGGUCUAGUCGUGCUGUCCUGAGGCGGGUCUGGUCUGGUAAAUAUGUGUUGUGAUGGGCCUGGUCUAGUAGAGCUGUGUUGUGAUGGGACGGGUCUGGUCCAGUAGAGCUGUGUUGUGAUGGGUCUGGUCUAGUAGAGCUGUGUUGUGAUGGGUCUGGUCUAGUAGAGCUGUGUUGUGAUGGGCCAGGUCUAGUAGAGCUGUGUUGUGAUGGGUCUGGUCUAGUAGAGCUGUGUUGUGAUGGGUCUGGUCUAGUAGAGCUGUGUUGUGAUGGGCCUGGUCUAGUAGAGCUGUGUUGUGAUGGGUCUGGUCUAGUAGAGCUGUGUUGGGAUGGGCCAGGUCUAGUAGAGCUGUGUUGG
This 570-nucleotide long non-coding RNA is filed under the name Salmo salar (Atlantic salmon). Its description in RNAcentral is "lncRNA (ENSSSAG00000115428.1)". Lineage: Eukaryota; Metazoa; Chordata; Actinopteri; Salmoniformes; Salmonidae. The record is from RNAcentral.